RNAcentral lists this ribosomal RNA (396 nucleotides) under uncultured organism. RNAcentral describes it as "bacterial SSU rRNA". It matches the Rfam family "Bacterial small subunit ribosomal RNA", at positions 45 to 433 of the family's 1533-position model. The record is from RNAcentral.
UGCUUAACACAUGCAAGUCGAGCGAAUUUCGGCAGCACACCGCCAAAGUUAGCGGCAGACGGGUGAGUAAUACUUGGGCAAUCUGCCCUUGAGUGGGGGACAACCUGCCGAAAGGCGGGCUAAUACCCCAUAAGACCACGGGAAUGCAUAUUCCAGAGGUCAAAGCUCCGUAAGGGGCGCUUGAGGAGGAGCCCGAGUCCUAUCAUGGUAGUUGGCGGGGUAAUGGCCCACCAAGCCGUUGACGGGUAGCCGGCCUGAAAGGGCAACCGGCCACACUGGCACUGAGACACGGGCCAGACUCCUACGGGAGGCAGCAGUGGGGAAUUUUGGACAAUGGGGGCAACCCUGAUCCAGCGACGCCGCGUGAAGGAUGAAGGUCUUCGGAUUGUAAACUUC